AUGAAAAAACUUGUUAGGGAGGUGUCUGGUCAUGAUGCUCUCUUAGUGUACUCUGAUAAUCAUGUUGUCAGAGCUCCACAAAAAAGAGAGUUUAGGUUUGAAUUGACCUGGUUGAAAUCUGAGGAUUUUAUUCCUCUUGUUGAUAAAAUCUGGAAACAAUAUGUGAAUGCUACUGCCCCUAUUGAUAUUUUGAAUAUCAAGCUCAAAAGAUUCAAGAAAUUUUUUAAAGGAUGGGGGUCAAAUAAAUUCGGCCGUGAGAAGAAAAGGAAGCAGGAGAUUAGAGAUGAACUUGCUUCUAUUGAGAAGCUAGAAGAGGGAGGAUCUAUUGACCAAGAAAAUUUUUGUAGGAAAAUUGAUCUUCUUGUGGAGUUAUAUGAAAUACUUGUUAAUGAGGAAUUGUUUCUAUUGCAACAAUCCAAUGAAAGAUNNNNNNNNNNNNNNNNNNNNNNNNNNNNNNNNNNNNNAAAGAUUGCUAAUGGUAAUAAGCGUAGGAACAUAAUCCACACUCUAAAUGUUGGGAGCACAGUGAUUGAGGGGGCCAAGAAACUCCUGGAGCAUGCUACUGAUUUUUAUAAAAAUCUUUUUGGUCCGGCUCAGGGGAACAUGUUUCAUCUAGACCCUAGUGUCUGCAGAGAAGAAGAGAAGCUCGAUGAAUUAGAUAAUGAAAUUCUUAAUAAACCUUUUACAGAAGAAGAAGUGAAGAAAGCUUUGUUUUCUAUGAAAAAUAACAGGGCUCCGGGCCCGGACAAUAUCCCUGCUGAAUUUUAUCAGCACUAUUGGGCUAUUGUGAAAGAUGAUAUAAUGGGUUUGUUUGUUGCUUUUCAUGCGGGGAAACUUGAUGUCAUCAUACUGAAUUAUGGCAUUAUAACCCUGCUGCCCAAGAUUAGUUGUUAUAAAGCUUGA
This 903-nucleotide ribosomal RNA is filed under the name Triticum aestivum (bread wheat). Its description in RNAcentral is "partial small subunit ribosomal RNA". The record is from RNAcentral. Lineage: Eukaryota; Viridiplantae; Streptophyta; Magnoliopsida; Poales; Poaceae.